CUACUCGACUCCUACGGGAGCGCAGUGGGGAAUAUUGCACAAUGGGCGGAAGCCUGAUGCAGCAACGCCGCGUGCGGGAUGACGGCCUUCGGGUUGUAAACCGCUUUCGCCUGUGACGAAGCGUGAGUGACGGUAAUGGGUAAAGAAGCACCGGCUAACUACGUGCCAGCAGCCGCGGUGAUACGUAGGGUGCGAGCGUUGUCCGGAUUUAUUGGGCGUAAAGGGGCUCGUAGGUGGUUGAUCGCGUCGGAAGUGUAAUCUUGGGGCUUAACCCUGAGCGUGCUUUCGAUACGGGUUGACUUGAGGAAGGUAGGGGAGAAUGGAAUUCCUGGUGGAGCGGUGGAAUGCGCAGAUAUCAGGAGGAACACCAGUGGCGAAGGCGGUUCUCUGGGCCUUUCCUGACGCUCAGAUGCGAAAGCGUGGGGAACAAACAGGAUUAGAUACCCUGGUAG
RNAcentral lists this ribosomal RNA (452 nucleotides) under uncultured bacterium. Its description in RNAcentral is "bacterial SSU rRNA". It matches the Rfam family "Bacterial small subunit ribosomal RNA", at positions 328 to 793 of the family's 1533-position model. The record is from RNAcentral.